RNAcentral lists this ribosomal RNA (706 nucleotides) under uncultured bacterium. RNAcentral's name for it is "bacterial SSU rRNA". It matches the Rfam family "Bacterial small subunit ribosomal RNA", at positions 566 to 1270 of the family's 1533-position model. The record is from RNAcentral.
CGCGCGCAGGCGGUUCCUUAAGUCUGAUGUGAAAUCUCGCGGCUCAACCGCGAGCGGCCAUUGGAAACUGGGGAACUUGAGUGCAGGAGAGGGGAGCGGAAUUCCACGUGUAGCGGUGAAAUGCGUAGAGAUGUGGAGGAACACCAGUGGCGAAGGCGGCUCUCUGGCCUGUAACUGACGCUGAGGCGCGAAAGCGUGGGGAGCGAACAGGAUUAGAUACCCUGGUAGUCCACGCCGUAAACGAUGAGUGCUAAGUGUUAGAGGGUAUCCACCCUUUAGUGCUGCAGCAAACGCAUUAAGCACUCCGCCUGGGGAGUACGGCCGCAAGGCUGAAACUCAAAGGAAUCGACGGGGACCCGCACAAGCGGUGGAGCAUGUGGUUUAAUUCGAAGCAACGCGAAGAACCUUACCAGGUCUUGACAUCCCCUGACAACCCUAGAGAUAGGGCGUUCCCCUUUCGGGGACAGGGUGACAGGUGGUGCAUGGUUGUCGUCGGCUCGUGUCGUGAGAUGUUGGGUUAAGUCCCGCAACGAGCGCAACCCUUGACCUUAGUUGCCAGCAUUCAGUUGGGCACUCUAAGGUGACUGCCGGCUAAAAGUCGGAGGAAGGUGGGGAUGACGUCAAAUCAUCAUGCCCCUUAUGACCUGGGCUACACACGUGCUACAAUGGGUGGUACAAAGGGCAGCGAAACCGCGAGGUGGAGCGA